RNAcentral lists this ribosomal RNA (503 nucleotides) under uncultured bacterium. RNAcentral's name for it is "bacterial SSU rRNA". It matches the Rfam family "Bacterial small subunit ribosomal RNA", at positions 28 to 530 of the family's 1533-position model. The record is from RNAcentral.
GAUGAACGCUGGCGGCGUGCCUAAUACAUGCAAGUCGAACGCACUAGUUUACUAGUGAGUGGCGAACGGGUGAGUAACACGUAGGUAAUCUACCCUUAAGACGAGGAUAACCAUUGGAAACGAUGGCUAAAACUGGAUAGGAAUAUAUGAGGCAUCUCAAAUAUUUUAAAAGACCUAGCAAUAGGUAUACUUAAAGAGGAACCUGCGGCGCAUUAGCUAGUUGGUGAGGUAGUAGCUCACCAAGGCAAUGAUGCGUAGCCGGACUGAGAGGUUAAACGGCCACAUUGGAACUGAGAGACGGUCCAAACUCCUACGGGAGGCAGCAGUAGGGAAUUUUCGGCAAUGGAGGAAACUCUGACCGAGCAACGCCGCGUGAAUGACGAAGUACUUCGGUAUGUAAAGUUCUUUUAUCAAGGAAGAAUGACUUAUGGAAAAAUAAGUGUGACGGUACUUGAUGAAUAAGCCCGGCUAACUAUGUGCCAGCAGCCGCGGUAAUGUCAGUG